AUUGAACGCUAGCGGGAUGCCUUACACAUGCAAGUCGAACGAGUGGCGGACGGGUGAGUAAUGUCUGGGAAACUGCCCGAUGGAGGGGGAUAACUACUGGAAACGGUAGCUAAUACCGCAUACCAUCGGAUGUGCCCAUAUGGGAUUAGCUUGUAGGUGGGGUAACGGCUUACCUGGGCGACGAUCCCUAGCUGGUCUGAGAGGAUGACCAGCCAGACUGGAACUGAUACACGGUCCAGACUCCUACGGGAGGCAGCAGUGGGGAUUAUUGCACUAUGGGCGCAAGCCUGAUACAGCCAUGCCGCGUGUAUGAAGAAGGCCUUCGGGUUGUAAAGUACUUUCAGCGAGGAGGCGUUACUCGCAGAAGAAGCACCGGCUAACUCCGUGCCAGCAGCCGCGGUAAUUC
RNAcentral lists this ribosomal RNA (406 nucleotides) under uncultured bacterium. RNAcentral's name for it is "partial 16S ribosomal RNA". It matches the Rfam family "Bacterial small subunit ribosomal RNA", at positions 30 to 526 of the family's 1533-position model. The record is from RNAcentral.